CCUCCUUAUACGAUUUAGAACUUAUUUGUUCGUAGUGUCCACACAGAUGAUUGUUAGUUAGUUUUACCCUUUGGGUUUAACUGAUUAAUAUGCUCUUUAAAAAUUUGGAAAAGCUGAUAAUAAAAUUCGUAUGAAUAACAGUGUUAUUUGUACAGAGUUUUCAAAAGUAAAGAAGAAUGAUAGCAGUAUCAUUCAGUGCCAAUUUAAUCAUUUAUGAUUAAUUGGUAUCUACUUUAGUAUUCAAUAUUAACUUCUGGCGAAGUUAAACUGUCACAUAACAAAGACCCGUUUGGGUUGUAUGGUUAAGUGACUAAACCGUACACGGUGGAUGCCU
RNAcentral lists this unclassified non-coding RNA (334 nucleotides) under uncultured Pseudoalteromonas sp. Its description in RNAcentral is "partial 16S-23S ribosomal RNA intergenic spacer". The record is from RNAcentral. Lineage: Bacteria; Pseudomonadati; Pseudomonadota; Gammaproteobacteria; Alteromonadales; Pseudoalteromonadaceae.